Molecule: ribosomal RNA, 392 nt
Filed under: uncultured bacterium
Lineage: Bacteria
Description: partial 16S ribosomal RNA
Rfam family: Bacterial small subunit ribosomal RNA
Source: RNAcentral
AUACGGAGGAUGCGAGCGUUAUCCGGAUUUAUUGGGUUUAAAGGGAGCGUAGGCGGGAGCUUAAGUCAGCGGUUAAAUGGUGCGGCUCAACCGUGCCCUGCCGUUGAAACUGGGUUUCUUGAGAGUGUAAGAGGCGGAUGGAAUUCAUGGUGUAGCGGGGAAAUGCUUAGAUAUCAUGAAGAACUCCGAUUGCGAAGGCAGUCCGCUGGGGCACGUCUGACGCUGAUGCUCGAAGGUGCGGGAAUCAAACAGGAUUAGAUACCCUGGUAGUCCGCACGGUGAACGAUGAUUACCCGCUGUCGGCGGUAGACAGUCGGCGGCCAAGCGAAAGCGAUAAGUAAUCCACCUGGGGAGUACGCCGGCAACGGUGAAACUCAAAUGAAUUGACGGGG